CGUAGGUGGCAAGCGUUGUCCGGAAUUAUUGGGCGUAAAGCGCGCGCAGGCGGUCCUUUAAGUCUGGUGUGAAAGCCCACGGCUCAACCGUGGAGGGUCAUUGGAAACUGGGGGGACUUGAGUACAGAAGAGAAGAGUGGAAUUCCACGUGUAGCGGUGAAAUGCGUAGAGAUGUGGAGGAACACCAGUGGCGAAGGCGACUCUUUGGUCUGUAACUGACGCUGAGGCGCGAAAGCGUGGGGAGCAAACAGGAUUAGAUACCCUGGUAGUCCACGCCGUAAACGAUGAGUGCUAAGUGUUAGAGGGUUUCCGCCCUUUAGUGCUGCAGCAAACGCGUUAAGCACUCCGCCUGGGGAGUACGGCCGCAAGGCUG
This 373-nucleotide ribosomal RNA is filed under the name uncultured organism. RNAcentral describes it as "bacterial SSU rRNA". It matches the Rfam family "Bacterial small subunit ribosomal RNA", at positions 526 to 896 of the family's 1533-position model. The record is from RNAcentral.